GUAGUAUCUGGGGAGCUGCCUCUAGUGUCCUCAGCCGAGGGUAACAAGAGACCCGCUUUUCUGGAAAAGUUUGUAGUUCUGUGGGCUCGGACUCCCUCUCCACCUCUGCGCCUUCUCCUCAGUGAACCCACUUUGACUGCUAUUUAGUGCCACAGAUAGUGAGAGGACUGACUACCUGUGCCUGAUAAAACGGCUAAUAGAGAGGGGUCUUUUAGGAGAGGAGGAUGUGGGCACCAACUGGCCAAAGUUGUCAGCGUUAUCUUGGCCAGAGGAGUCUGUACAGAAGUUUCAACUGCUCUCUCUGUCCACCCAGUUCCCAUUGCCUUCCCUGCCAAACCACAGGGACAUACUGCAGGUCUCUCAAUGACCACUAGGGGGAUGCACGAGUCUACACUACCAACUGUACACAUGAAUCCCAGCCAAACACUAUUGUAUUAACAGCAGUGAUGCAUAUUUGAAGAAAAGAAAGAAUGUUUAAACCUACAAUAUAUAGGAUUAAAAAAAAUAUUUUAAAGUCUGAUUUAUUGUUAGUUGCAAGGAGAAUAUUUGCUGCUGAAGAAUGCUGAGUUGAUAAGAUUGUUAUUGACAGUUUAUAAACCUUUAAAACACAUUUUGUGGGGACAUUUUAGCAGGGCUUUGCCAGUUUUCACUUAUACUGCCUCACAAUAGAACAGGAUAAAGACCAUUCACUGUGCUAUGUAUUUGUUUUAAGCGUGUGUAAAUGUUUUUCUG
This is a long non-coding RNA of Sinocyclocheilus grahami, 732 nucleotides long. RefSeq lists it as uncharacterized. The record is from RefSeq and is a predicted model, not a curated record. The transcript is spliced from 3 exons. NCBI's taxonomy places the organism in Eukaryota, Metazoa, Chordata, Actinopteri, Cypriniformes, Cyprinidae.